GGCCCCAUCGUAUAAUGGUUAGUAUACCGGCCUUUCAAGCCGGUGGUGCGGGUUCGAUUCCCGCUGGGGCUACCA
RNAcentral lists this transfer RNA (75 nucleotides) under Dictyoglomota bacterium. RNAcentral describes it as "Dictyoglomi bacterium (hydrothermal vent metagenome) tRNA-Glu". It matches the Rfam family "tRNA". Rfam says of the family: Transfer RNA (tRNA) molecules are approximately 80 nucleotides in length. Their secondary structure includes four short double-helical elements and three loops (D, anti-codon, and T loops). RNAcentral also lists the same sequence under 1 other name. The record is from RNAcentral. Lineage: Bacteria; Pseudomonadati; Dictyoglomota.